ACUGAGAAUACAGCUAAAACCAGCCUAAGCUGAUCAGUUGUUUUGGCUAGUCUCCCAAACUGGUUUUUAAGUGGUUUUGACCACUCUCACGCUGGUCUUAGCUGGGUUUUAGCUGGUUUUUACUGAAUCCACUGUUUUUAGCUGGUUUUUGCCAGAUUCGCAUAGAAACAUGCUAACAACAUGCUAGUUACUCACUAAUCAGACUAGAAACAUACUUCUAACAAGUUUUAAAGUGGUUUUGGCCACUGUCACGCUGGCCUUAGCUGGUUUUAGGUGGUUUUCUUUACUGAAUCAACUGGUUUUAGCUAGAUUAUCAUAGAAACAUGUUAAUACCAUGUUAGUAACUUGUUAAUCAGACUAGAAACAUACUUCUAACAUGGUUUAAAGUGGUUUUGGCCACUGUCAAGCUGGCUUUAGCUGGUCUUAGCUGGUUUAAGGUGGUUUUCUUUACUGAAUCAACUGGUUUUAGCUAGAUUAUCAUAGAAACAUGUUAAUACCAUGUUAGUAACUUGUUAAUCAGACUAGAAACAUACUUCUAACAUGGUUUAAAGUGGUUUUGGCCACUGUCAAGCUGGCUUUAGCUGGUCUUAGCUGGUUUAAGGUGGUUUUCUUUAAUGAAUCAACUGGUUUUAGCUAGAUUAUCAUAAAAACAUAUUAACAACAUGUUAGUAAUUUGCUAAUCAGUCUAGAAACAUACUUCUAACAUGGUUUAAAGUGGUUUUGGCCACUGUCAAGCUGGCUUUAGCUGGUCUUAGCUGGUUUUAGGUGGUUUUCUUUACUGAAUCAACUGGUUUUAGCUAGAUUAUCAUAGAAACAUGUUAACAACAUGUUAGUAACUUGAUAAUCAGACUAGAAACAUACUUCUAACAUGGUUUAAAGUGGUUUUGGCCACUGUCAAGCUGGCUUUAGCUGGUCUUAGCUGGUUUUAGGUGGUUUUCUUUACUGAAUCAACUGGUUUUAGCUAGAUUAUCAUAGAAACAUGUUAAUACCAUGUUAGUAACUUGUUAAUCAGACUAGAAACAUACUUCUAACAUGGUUUAAAGUGGUUUUGGCCACUGUCAAGCUGGCUUUAGCUGGUCUUAGCUGGUUUAAGGUGGUUUUCUUUAAUGAAUCAACUGGUUUUAGCUAGAUUAUCAUAAAAACAUAUUAACAACAUGUUAGUAAUUUGCUAAUCAGUCUAGAAACAUACUUCUAACAUGGUUUAAAGUGGUUUUGGCCACUGUCAAGCUGGCUUUAGCUGGUCUUAGCUGGUUUUAGGUGGUUUUCUUUACUGAAUCAACUGGUUUUAGCUAGAUUAUCAUAGAAACAUGUUAACAACAUGUUAGUAACUUGAUAAUCAGACUAGAAACAUACUUCUAACAUGGUUUAAAGUGGUUUUGGCCACUGUCAAGCUGGCUUUAGCUGGUCUUAGCUGGUUUUAGGUGGUUUUCUUUACUGAAUCAACUGGUUUUAACUAGAUUAUCAUAGAAACAUGUUAAUAACAUGCUAGUAACUUGCUAAUCAGACUAGAAACAUACUUCUAACAUGGUUUAAAGUGGUUUUGGCCACUGUCAAGCUGGUCUUAGCUGGUUUCUAACUGAAUCAACUGGUUUUAGCUCGAUUAUCAUAG
This is a long non-coding RNA of Carassius gibelio (silver crucian carp), 1609 nucleotides long. RefSeq lists it as uncharacterized. The transcript is spliced from 3 exons. The record is from RefSeq and is a predicted model, not a curated record. Lineage: Eukaryota; Metazoa; Chordata; Actinopteri; Cypriniformes; Cyprinidae.